AAUCUUGCGCAAUGGGCGAAAGCCUGACGCAGCCAUGCCGCGUGAGUGAUGAAGGCCCUAGGGUUGCAAAGCUCUUUCACCGGUGAAGAUAAUGACGGUAACCGGAGAAGAAGCCCCGGCUAACUUCGUGCCAGCAGCCGCGGUAAUACGAAGGGGGCUAGCGUUGUUCGGAAUUACUGGGCGUAAAGCGCACGUAGGCGGAUCGGUCAGUUAGGGGUGAAAUCCCGGGGCUCAACCCCGGAACUGCCUUUAAUACUGCCGGUCUAGAGUCCGAGAGAGGUGAGUGGAAUUCCGAGUGUAGAGGUGAAAUUCGUAGAUAUUCGGAGGAACACCAGUGGCGAAGGCAGCCCCCUGGGAUAAUACUGACGCUCAGACACGAAAGCGUGGGGAGCAAACAG
RNAcentral lists this ribosomal RNA (398 nucleotides) under uncultured bacterium. Its description in RNAcentral is "partial 16S ribosomal RNA". It matches the Rfam family "Bacterial small subunit ribosomal RNA", at positions 360 to 775 of the family's 1533-position model. The record is from RNAcentral.